CGUGUUCAUCGGGCAGUCGCCUCUGCGCAAGCAGGGGAGGAAAGUCCGAACUCCGCAGGGCAGGGUGCCGGAUAACGUCCGGGCGCCGCAAGGUGACGGAAAGUGCAACAGAAAACACACCGCCCGUCCCGUGUCGUUUCGGCGAUCCGGGAAAGGUAAGGGUGAAAAGGUGCGGUAAGAGCGCACCGGCGGUCUGGCAACAGGCCGGCCUGGCAAACCCCACCCGGAGCAAGACCACGUAGGAGUGCCGUCUCCGGAGCUGCGCGGCUCGCGCAGUGUUCGUUUCGGCGAACCGGUAUUCGGGUAGGUCGCACGAACCUCGCGGUAACGCGGGGUCCAGAUAGAUGACUGCCUCGUCCCGCUACGGCGGGAUAGACAGAAUUCGGCUUACAGAUGAACGCGGGUU
Molecule: RNase P RNA, 406 nt
Filed under: Bacteroidota bacterium
Lineage: Bacteria; Pseudomonadati; Bacteroidota
Description: Bacteroidetes bacterium (sediment metagenome) RNase P RNA component class A
Rfam family: Bacterial RNase P class A
About the family: Ribonuclease P (RNase P) is a ubiquitous endoribonuclease, found in archaea, bacteria and eukarya as well as chloroplasts and mitochondria. Its best characterised activity is the generation of mature 5'-ends of tRNAs by cleaving the 5'-leader elements of precursor-tRNAs. Cellular RNase Ps are ribonucleoproteins.
Source: RNAcentral